CUCGAAAAAGAAAGUGCUGGCCAGCACGAAAAUUCAUCGCUGGAACCGAGCACAGUCUGCUUGAAGACUACCCACGAAAGCGGAUUAACCUUGCAGCCCCUGGGCUUGUGCGCCGCCUCCAAGACGCUGCUCAUAUUUGGACUCAUCCCUUUGGACUCUAUUGUCUCUGAACGUACAAGUCAACCGUGAAUGUGUCACCACUGGAAGUAACAUCAAGGGCCAGCAUCAUCACAGGGAAGACGGACAAAAGAGAGAUUAUUGGUCUGCAAGCUGCCCACGCUAAGCCACAAGAUGCUCAACUGUCACCAUAAUGACAACAGGUCCUCUUGAACUACGUGCCUCACUAUGA
Long non-coding RNA from Dermacentor silvarum, 349 nucleotides. RefSeq lists it as uncharacterized. Lineage: Eukaryota; Metazoa; Arthropoda; Arachnida; Ixodida; Ixodidae. The record is from RefSeq and is a predicted model, not a curated record. The transcript has 3 exons.